GUCGAGCGAACAGACGAGGAGCUUGCUCCUCUGACGUUAGCGGCGGACGGGUGAGUAACACGUGGAUAACCUACCUAUAAGACUGGGAUAACUUCGGGAAACCGGAGCUAAUACCGGAUAAUAUAUUGAACCGCAUGGUUCAAUAGUGAAAGACGGUUUUGCUGUCACUUAUAGAUGGAUCCGCGCCGCAUUAGCUAGUUGGUAAGGUAACGGCUUACCAAGGCAACGAUGCGUAGCCGACCUGAGAGGGUGAUCGGCCACACUGGAACUGAGACACGGUCCAGACUCCUACGGGAGGCAGCAGUAGGGAAUCUUCCGCAAUGGGCGAAAGCCUGACGGAGCAACGCCGCGUGAGUGAUGAAGGUCUUCGGAUCGUAAAACUCUGUUAUUAGGGAAGAACAAAUGUGUAAGUAACUAUGCACGUCUUGACGGUACCUAAUCAGAAAGCCACGGCUAACUACGUGCCAGCAGCCGCGGUAAUACGUAGGUGGCAAGCGUUAUCCGGAAUUAUUGGGCGUAAAGCG
Molecule: ribosomal RNA, 524 nt
Filed under: uncultured Staphylococcus sp.
Lineage: Bacteria; Bacillati; Bacillota; Bacilli; Caryophanales; Staphylococcaceae
Description: bacterial SSU rRNA
Rfam family: Bacterial small subunit ribosomal RNA
Source: RNAcentral